UGAGUAACCUGCCCUUCACUCUGGGAUAACUCCGGGAAACCGGGCUAAUACUGGAUAUGACUCGAACAGGCAUCUGUUUCGGGUGGAAAGAUUUAUUGGUGGAGGAUGGACUCGCGGCCUAUCAGCUUGUUGGUGAGGUAAUGGCUCACCAAGGCAACGAUGCGUAGCCGACCUGAGAGGGUNAUCGGCCACAUUGGAACUGAGACACGGUCCAGACUCCUACGGGAGCA
This 230-nucleotide ribosomal RNA is filed under the name uncultured bacterium. RNAcentral describes it as "partial 16S ribosomal RNA". It matches the Rfam family "Bacterial small subunit ribosomal RNA", at positions 118 to 347 of the family's 1533-position model. The record is from RNAcentral.